This 252-nucleotide ribosomal RNA is filed under the name uncultured prokaryote. RNAcentral describes it as "partial 16S ribosomal RNA". It matches the Rfam family "Bacterial small subunit ribosomal RNA", at positions 526 to 777 of the family's 1533-position model. The record is from RNAcentral.
CGGGGGGGGCAAGCGUUGUUCGGAAUUACUGGGCGUAAAGGGUUCGUAGGUGGCCAACUAAGUCAGACGUGAAAUCCCUCGGCUCAACCGGGGAACUGCGUCUGAUACUGGUUGGCUUGAGUGCAGGAGAGGAACGCGGAAUUCCAGGUGUAGCGGUGAAAUGCGUAGAUAUCUGGAGGAACACCGGUGGCGAAGGCGGCGUUCUGGACUGCAACUGACACUGAGGAACGAAAGCCAGGGGAGCAAACGGGA